GUACCCUGUAGAGUCUCCUGAGUAAUCAGAGAAACUGAACAUUAACUUACUGAUCUUUUAGAAGUCUCGCUUCUGAUUUGACCAUGUGCUCCAGUUGUUCUUACAUAUUCUCUCAUUGCACCGGAUCAAGUUACACUGGGAGCCAGUCGUAAACUUGCAUUUAGUGAAAUGCAAGCACAUACUGCUUGAGAGCACAAGUCAAUCAUUGCUCGGGUUAAAGAUUUUUGUGAGUUAAUCACACUUUUCUUAUUUUGAGCUAUGUUAGCAGAAGAGCAUUCUUUAGUAGAUCUUCUUUGAUAUUGAAUGCUUUAAAUUACUUCUUUAAGAAUUCAAAUUCUAAAGAAAAUAUCAGGUCUAAUGUUUUCUGUUUGGAGAGAGUUUUUCUUUUGGAUGUUUCCUAUUUAUAAAUUUAAAAGUAC
Molecule: non-coding RNA, 419 nt
Organism: Danio rerio (zebrafish)
Lineage: Eukaryota; Metazoa; Chordata; Actinopteri; Cypriniformes; Danionidae
Source: Ensembl